GAGAAGAACUUCAGCCCCAGGGCAGGAGCGGUUCAGUUCCCAGGAUGUGGCGCCGACAAGACCUGAGACCUCUAGUAAGGUUUCCAAAGAUACUCUGGGUCUGAAAGCCAGGACUGUCUGAGAGUCUGGAAUCAAGUCUGUAAGUCUGUCAGCCAGGACUGUCUGAGAGUGUUCUGGAAUCUAGGAAGUGGGCAAGGCUGCUUCAAGUAUCAAAAAGAGAUGCCAUACUUAAAGCAAAGGAUUGUUGGAUUUGAAUCUAUCUAAGAUAUCUACAAAUAA
Molecule: long non-coding RNA, 279 nt
Filed under: Rattus norvegicus (Norway rat)
Lineage: Eukaryota; Metazoa; Chordata; Mammalia; Rodentia; Muridae
Description: long non-coding RNA NONRATT032852
Source: RNAcentral